CCGCCUGCCCUGUGACUAUAUGUUUAACGGCCGCGGUAUCUUAACCGUGCGAAGGUAGCGUAAUCACUUGUCUUUUAAAUGAAGACCUGUAUGAAUGGCAUCACGAGGGCUUAACUGUCUCCCCUCUCCAGUCAAUGAAAUUGACCUCCCCGUGCAGAGGCGGGGAUAUUUUUAUAAGACGAGAAGACCCUGUGGAGCUUUAGACCUAAAAUAAACCACGUUAAAUAUACUAAAAUAAUAGCAAAAACUUAGUGGCCCUUUAUUUAAGUGUCUUUGGUUGGGGCGACCGCGGAGUAAAACAUAACCUCCAUGUGGACGGGGAUACUAUCCCUAAAACUCAGAGCCUCCACUCUAAGCAACAGAAAUUCUGACCUUACUGAUCCGGUACAACCGAUUAACGAACCCAGUUACCCCAGGGAUAACAGCGCAAUCCCCUCUCAGAGCCCAUAUCGACGAGGGGGUUUACGACCUCGAUGUUGGAUCAGGACAUCCUAGUGGUGCAGCCGCUAUUG
RNAcentral lists this ribosomal RNA (512 nucleotides) under Merluccius albidus (offshore hake). RNAcentral describes it as "partial 16S ribosomal RNA". It matches the Rfam family "Bacterial large subunit ribosomal RNA", at positions 1854 to 2567 of the family's 2925-position model. The record is from RNAcentral. Lineage: Eukaryota; Metazoa; Chordata; Actinopteri; Gadiformes; Merlucciidae.